ACUCCUGCGGGAGGCAGCAGUGGGGAAUAUUGCACAAUGGGCGCAAGCCUGAUGCAGCCAUGCCGCGUGUAUGAAGAAGGCCUUCGGGUUGUAAAGUACUUUCAGCGGGGAGGAAGGCGAUAAGGUUAAUAACCUUGUUGAUUGACGUUACCCGCAGAAGAAGCACCGGCUAACUCCGUGCCAGCAGCCGCGGUAAUACGGAGGGUGCAAGCGUUAAUCGGAAUUACUGGGCGUAAAGCGCACGCAGGCGGUCUGUCAAGUCGGAUGUGAAAUCCCCGGGCUCAACCUGGGAACUGCAUUCGAAACUGGCAGGCUAGAGUCUUGUAGAGGGGGGUAGAAUUCCAGGUGUAGCGGUGAAAUGCGUAGAGAUCUGGAGGAAUACCGGUGGCGAAGGCGGCCCCCUGGACAAAGACUGACGCUCAGGUGCGAAAGCGUGGGGAGCAAACAGGAUUAGAAACCCCUGUAGUCCCAUG
RNAcentral lists this ribosomal RNA (473 nucleotides) under uncultured organism. Its description in RNAcentral is "partial 16S ribosomal RNA". It matches the Rfam family "Bacterial small subunit ribosomal RNA", at positions 335 to 799 of the family's 1533-position model. The record is from RNAcentral.